GCCGGGCGUGGUGGCGCACGCCUUUAAUCCCAGCACUCGGGAGGCAGAGGCAGAGGCAGGCGGAUUUCUGAGUUCGAGGCCAGCCUGGUCUACAAAGUGAGUUCCAGGACAGCCAGGGCUAAACAGAGAAACCCUGUCUCGAAAAAACAAACAAACAAACAAAAAAAGAAAUGAAAAUUUCAAGUUUAAGGUCAGCUUUAGCUAAACAGUAAGACUGUCUUUGUUGUUUUGAAACAGUUUCUCUGUGUGGUCCUGGCUGUUCUGGAACUCACUCUGUAGACCAGGAUGGCCUCUAACACAGAGAUCUGCCUGCCUCUGCCU
Molecule: long non-coding RNA, 321 nt
Filed under: Mus musculus (house mouse)
Lineage: Eukaryota; Metazoa; Chordata; Mammalia; Rodentia; Muridae
Description: long non-coding RNA chr3:40943040-40943361
Source: RNAcentral